CAGUAGCCGCGGUAAAACGUAUGUCACAAGCGUUAUCCGGAUUUAUUGGGCGUAAAGCGCGUCUAGGCGGUUAAUUAAGUCUGAUGUGAAAAUGCGGAGCUCAACUCCGUAUUGCGUUGGAAACUGGUUAACUAGAGUACUGGAGAGGUAAGCGGAACAACAAGUGUAGAGGUGAAAUUCGUAGAUAUUUGUGGGGAUGCCGAUGGGGAAGCCAGCUUACUGGACAGAUACUGACGCUAAAGCGCGAAAGCGUGGGUAGCAAACAGGAUUAGAUACCCGCGUAGUCCCUGUCUCUUAUACC
RNAcentral lists this ribosomal RNA (301 nucleotides) under uncultured bacterium. Its description in RNAcentral is "partial 16S ribosomal RNA". It matches the Rfam family "Bacterial small subunit ribosomal RNA", at positions 509 to 808 of the family's 1533-position model. The record is from RNAcentral.